AUGGACUUCGGUACUGAUGAGGGCCAGCACGGCCAUGGCGACGGAGGCGAUGCGGCGGAGUGGAAGAAGGUGGCGGAGCUGAGGGCCGUCGCCGAGGCCCAGGACCCCGCGGCCAAGGAGGAGGACGAUUUCGUGCUGCGCCGGUUCCUGUGUGCUCGGGACUACAACAUUGGCAAGGCGUCGACGAUGCUCCUCCAGUACCUCGCCUGGAAGCGUGUCACCAAGCCCCAUGGCUCCAUCUCCGGCGAGGAGGUGCGCGACGAGAUCGUAAAGAAGAGGGUCGACAUGCAGGGCUUCGAUCGUCUUGGUCGCCCCAUGGCAUAUAUCUAUGGCGCACGCCACUUUCCCGCCCGGCGAGACCUUGACGGAUUCAAGCGCUAUGUAGCCUAUGUCCUCGACAAAAUAUGCACCAGGUCCGAGGAUAACAGUCCCGAGGAGCCUGAAGUGGGCGUCCUGUGGAGCGAUCUGCACAAGCUCGGCAUCGGCCUCGCUGGUGCGGCUCUUGAGCCCGGAGUGCGAGCCGCAGAACAUAGCGGCUUACGACAGGCCCGAACACAAGCCUGCAUAGUGGUAGUAUACCUUGGAGGCGAGGUUCUUGAUGAUCUAUCCCAGGAGAUGGAGACACAUUUAUCAGCACUUGUCGAGUGA
Molecule: ribosomal RNA, 648 nt
Filed under: Triticum aestivum (bread wheat)
Lineage: Eukaryota; Viridiplantae; Streptophyta; Magnoliopsida; Poales; Poaceae
Description: partial small subunit ribosomal RNA
Source: RNAcentral